ACAGGGAUUGCCUCAGUAACGGCGAGUGAAGCGGCAACAGCUCAAAUUUGAAAUCUGGCUCUCUUAGGGUCCGAGUUGUAAUUUGUAGAAGAUGCUUCGGGUGUGGCUCCGGUCUAAGUUCCUUGGAACAGGACGUCAUAGAGGGUGAGAAUCCCGUAUGUGACUGGCUGCCUUCGCCCAUGUGAAGCUCUUUCAACGAGUCGAGUUGUUUGGGAAUGCAGCUCAAAAUGGGUGGUAAAUUUCAUCUAAAGCUAAAUAUUGGCCAGAGACCGAUAGCGCACAAGUAGAGUGAUCGAAAGAUGAAAAGCACUUUGGAAAGAGAGUUAAACAGUACGUGAAAUUGUUGAAAGGGAAGCGCUUGCAACCAGACUUGCGUGCGGUCGAUCAUCCGGUGUUCUCACCGGUGCACUCGAUCGUAUUCAGGCCAGCAUCGGUUUCGGUGGUUGGAUAAAGGCCUUGGGAAUGUAGCUUCUCUCGGGGAGUGUUAUAGCCCAAGGUGCAAUGCAGCCUACCGGGACCGAGGACCGCGCUUCGGCUAGGAUGCUGGCGUAAUGGUUGUAAGCGACCCGUCUUGAAACACGGACCAAGGAGUCUAACAUCUAUGCGAGUGUUUGGGUGU
RNAcentral lists this ribosomal RNA (619 nucleotides) under Leptodontidium trabinellum. RNAcentral's name for it is "eukaryotic LSU rRNA". It matches the Rfam family "Eukaryotic large subunit ribosomal RNA", at positions 68 to 701 of the family's 3401-position model. The record is from RNAcentral. Lineage: Eukaryota; Fungi; Ascomycota; Leotiomycetes; Helotiales; Leptodontidiaceae.